Molecule: ribosomal RNA, 430 nt
Filed under: Gammaproteobacteria bacterium
Lineage: Bacteria; Pseudomonadati; Pseudomonadota; Gammaproteobacteria
Description: partial 23S ribosomal RNA
Rfam family: Bacterial large subunit ribosomal RNA
Source: RNAcentral
AUCCAAGCUACUAAGGGCCAACGGUGGAUGCCUUGGCACUAGGAGCCGAUGAAGGACGCGGCAGGCUGCGAUAAGCCUCGGGGAGCUGUCAAGCAAGCUUUGAUCCGAGGAUUUCCGAAUGGGGAAACCCGGCCGGGGUCAUGCCCGGUCACUCCGGUCUGAACACAUAGGGCCGGUUGAGGCAACCAGGGGAAUUGAAACAUCUCAGUACCCUGAGGAAGAGAAAGCAAUAGCGACUCCCUGAGUAGUGGCGAGCGAAACGGGAAGAGCCUAAACCUAUGCAGUGUGAUAGCCCGGUGGCGUUGCUGUAUAGGGGUCGUGGGACCCAUGUCUCUGCGCACCGGCGCAGAGCUGGAGUUACAAAGUCGGCGGUUAGCUGAACACAGCUGGAAAGCUGGGCCAUAGGGGGUAAUAGCCCCGUAAGCGAAAA